RNAcentral lists this long non-coding RNA (347 nucleotides) under Calidris pugnax (ruff). Its description in RNAcentral is "lncRNA (ENSCPUG00000005354.1)". The record is from RNAcentral. Lineage: Eukaryota; Metazoa; Chordata; Aves; Charadriiformes; Scolopacidae.
CGGUGCUUGCCCAUCGGCUCAGCCGGGGACCGGCGAGCUGCCGCCGAGGUGAUGCUGCGGCCGGAGGAGCCCCGGGCGGGGGAGGCGGUGGCAGUCGCUGGAGAGACGACGGGGGAGCUGCUGAGGCGGAGCCCCCUGCGGCGCGGGGCGAGAAGGCGGUGAGGCGGACAGCGCGCGAGGGGCGCGGCCAUCUUGGCGGCGCGGGGAGGGCGGUGGCGCUGCGCGCGCAGCGGGGCGCCCGGCGGGCGGCGGCCUGCCCUCCGAGACACCCGAGCUGGAUUUCAAGGGUGAAUUGUAUAAUAAUAGAAUCAUAGAAUGGUUAGAGUUGGAAGGGACCUUAAAGAUCA